CCUACGGGAGGCAGCAGUAGGGAAUAUUGGACAAUGGACGCAAGUCUGAUCCAGCCAUGCCGCGUGCAGGAUGACAGCCCUCUGGGUUGUAAACUGCUUUUAUAUGAGAAGAAACCCUCAGAUGCGUUUGAGGCUGACGGUAUCAUAUGAAUAAGGAUCGGCUAACUUCGUGCCAGCAGCCGCGGUAAGACGAAGGAUCCAAGCGUUGUCCGGAUUUACUGGGUUUAAAGGAUGCGUAGGCGGACACUUAAGCCAGUGGUGAAAUCCCAUAGCUCAACUAUGGAACUGCCAUUGGAACUGUGUGUCUUGAAUUCGGUUGAGGUAGAUGGAAUAUAACAUGUAGCGGUGAAAUGCUUAGAUAUGUUAUAGAACACCGAUUGCGAAGGCAGUCUACUAAGCCGACAUUGACGCUGAGGCAUGAAAGCGUGGGGAGCGAACAGGAUUAGAUACCCUGGUAGUCCACGCCCUAAACGUUGAUUACUCGCUGUUAGCGAUAUACUGUUAGCGGCUAAGCGAAAGCGUUAAGUAAUCCACCUGGGAAGUACGAUCGCAAGAUUGAAACUCAAAGGAAUUGACGG
RNAcentral lists this ribosomal RNA (578 nucleotides) under uncultured bacterium. Its description in RNAcentral is "bacterial SSU rRNA". It matches the Rfam family "Bacterial small subunit ribosomal RNA", at positions 338 to 916 of the family's 1533-position model. The record is from RNAcentral.